This 451-nucleotide small RNA is filed under the name Pan troglodytes (chimpanzee). Its description in RNAcentral is "processed transcript". The record is from RNAcentral. Lineage: Eukaryota; Metazoa; Chordata; Mammalia; Primates; Hominidae.
AUGUGGUAGUGAGCUGAUCAUCCACUUUCUUCUAAAAUAAAGAAGAAAAUGGCCAGUAUUCAUCCUGUCCUUGUCUUUCCCCAUUCCUUGAUAACUCUCUUGUCUUUACUGGGAGGCUGGAGAGUCACAGUCUAGUAGAAGAAAGGUCUAUAGUAAAGAGAUGUGGCAUCUGAUGAAAAGGAAGACAAGAAGAUGCGGCAGCCCUACAGACUACUUCAGGAAGCCCAGGAAGAAGAUGGCAUGGAUUAGAAAAAUUUCAACUGUAGGUGCCUUUGCAACCUAUCCUGGGAGACCCUAAAACAUAUUUAGUUUUAGUGCCUAGAGAUUUUCACUCCUCUAACAUCUCUGGAUACAGUGUCCCUGGUCAACAUGAAGAAGUUACAGAAGAACACUUUCUGAUCCUGGCCCCUAAAGAAUUUACUUGUGCUAAGUAAUAAAAUUCCUAUUGAUC